UUCAUCGCACUCCAAAAGGUGAGGCAAGGCUGCUGCAAUUAACCAUGCCAAUAAACAAGAGAGUACAAUCCCACUCCAUACAAAAAGGUAGCAGGACUACGUGGAACAAAAAGGUAAAACCAAGCAGACGUACAGAACAUGGGAAUGAAACUAAAAACAAACCACCACCAAUCAUUACCCAUUAUCAUAUCAAGAUCUGCAAGAAACACCAGAAGAACAUAUUUAGCAUCUCGAAGAAAGUUAGGAAAACACAAAUUUGAGCAUAUUCUUGAUAUACAUACACACCAGGAAGUUUGAAGAUAUCGGAUCAAUAUUCUUGGUAUG
This 324-nucleotide long non-coding RNA is filed under the name Capsicum annuum. RNAcentral describes it as "long non-coding RNA (CANN_LNC005798)". Lineage: Eukaryota; Viridiplantae; Streptophyta; Magnoliopsida; Solanales; Solanaceae. The record is from RNAcentral.